UACGUAGGGCGCAAGCGUUAUCCGGAAUUAUUGGGCGUAAAGAGCUCGUAGGCGGUUUGUCGCGUCUGCUGUGAAAGACCGGGGCUCAACUCCGGUUCUGCAGUGGGUACGGGCAGACUAGAGUGCAGUAGGGGAGACUGGAAUUCCUGGUGUAGCGGUGAAAUGCGCAGAUAUCAGGAGGAACACCGGUGGCGAAGGCGGGUCUCUGGGCAACUACUGACGCUGAGGAGCGAAAGCGUGGGGAGCAAACAGGAUUAGAUACCCGAGUAGU
Molecule: ribosomal RNA, 271 nt
Filed under: uncultured bacterium
Lineage: Bacteria
Description: partial 16S ribosomal RNA
Rfam family: Bacterial small subunit ribosomal RNA
Source: RNAcentral